AAUGAUGAAACUGCCCGAAGGAACAUUGGUCAAAACCUGCCCAGCAGAUUGACCAGCGAACAUGUUCAUCAUGCGGGAUUGGGGUGCCGGAGUGACCCACGGUUGCCAGCCCCCUUCCCUUGCCCGGGGAGAGCACACCUUCGGGAGUGUCCCCGUGGCACAAUAACAAACCCCGGCGCAGUACGCGCCAAGGAAUAUCAAUACAGUGCGUGCCCGGUCCGUGCUCGGUUCUCCGAGCAUGGAUGAGGCACCCGGUCCCCAAUAUUAAAACGACUCUCGGCAACGGAUAUCUCGGCUCUCGCAUCGAUGAAGAACGUAGCGAAAUGCGAUACUUGGUGUGAAUUGCAGAAUCCCGUGAACCAUCGAGUCUUUGAACGCAAGUUGCGCCCGAAGCCUUCUGGCCGAGGGCACGUCUGCCUGGGCGUCACGCAUCGCGUCUCCCCCAAUCCACCGUGUGUCGGGGAGGGGGAGGAGGAUGGCUUCCCAUGCCUCACCGGGCGUGGCUGGCCUAAAAACGGAGCCUCAGGUUGCGGACUGCUGCGGCGAUUGGUGGUAGACAAGGCCUUGCCUGGGAUGCAAUCGCGCCGUGCAGCACGCAGCCCCUGCGGACUCGAAGGACCCUGAGCCGCCUUCGAAUGGCGGCAAAACCGUUGCGACCCCAGGUCAGGCGGGGCUACCCGCUGAGUUUAAGCAUAUCAAUAAGGCGGAGG
Molecule: ribosomal RNA, 710 nt
Filed under: Salicornia brachiata
Lineage: Eukaryota; Viridiplantae; Streptophyta; Magnoliopsida; Caryophyllales; Amaranthaceae
Description: eukaryotic LSU rRNA
Rfam family: 5.8S ribosomal RNA (bases 272-427)
Source: RNAcentral